GCUCGUUUAGAAAAGUCGGUAGAGCACGGUGCUAAUAACGCCGCGGUCGCAGGUUCGAUCCCUGCAAUGAGCA
Molecule: transfer RNA, 73 nt
Filed under: Cavenderia fasciculata
Lineage: Eukaryota; Evosea; Eumycetozoa; Acytosteliales; Cavenderiaceae
Also listed under: 1 other name
Description: tRNA-Ile
Rfam family: tRNA
About the family: Transfer RNA (tRNA) molecules are approximately 80 nucleotides in length. Their secondary structure includes four short double-helical elements and three loops (D, anti-codon, and T loops). Further hydrogen bonds mediate the characteristic L-shaped molecular structure. tRNAs have two regions of fundamental functional importance: the anti-codon, which is responsible for specific mRNA codon recognition, and the 3' end, to which the tRNAs corresponding amino acid is attached (by aminoacyl-tRNA synthetases). tRNAs cope with the degeneracy of the genetic code in two manners: having more than one tRNA (with a specific anti-codon) for a particular amino acid; and 'wobble' base-pairing, i.e. permitting non-standard base-pairing at the 3rd anti-codon position.
Source: RNAcentral